Molecule: long non-coding RNA, 102 nt
Organism: Sapajus apella (tufted capuchin)
Lineage: Eukaryota; Metazoa; Chordata; Mammalia; Primates; Cebidae
Exons: 3
Source: RefSeq, a predicted model, not a curated record
GGAGUUAAUGGACGUUGUGUUCUCACCUCUGCAAACAAUAAAAACUGGAUGCAAAUGCUAGUAAUUAUUUUUCAAUGGAAAGAGCUGAAAAGAAAUUUUUCC